UAUUCCUGAAUGCAAUACACACGCAAUGUUGUCAAAUGUCGGAUAUAGCGGUACUAUGGCGUUUCCACCACCGAACGCCAUGCCAUAGCGCCAUGGCGCCGCCAUAUCCGCUAUUUGAUAACAUUGCGUGAAAGAAACAAAGGAUACAGCUUUUGUGACAUGUUCUGGCAGAGUUUAUUCGACUUCAGUUAACCAAGUAAGCGAUCUCAUUUUCUUACCAAAUUUUAACUGAACAUACUUUUUUAUGCCUUCUGUCAUGUGACCAAAAUUCAGUUUCAACCAAGUUCAAUUGAAUUAAUAAUGGUUUCUGUAAGGGAACUGCCCUGUUCUGCCAGGUUUGGGUAAAAUACACAUUUAUGGCUUAUGUUUUCAUCUAGUUAUGUUGAAUUUUGACUUAGUGGUUGUCUGGAUUGGAUAUUCAAAAUCAGUACAUUUUCUGUAGAAAUCUUGGGACAUGACAAUAGUUGAAAUACUUAUGUUUUAACCUUAUCACUUUUGAACAAGUGUAUGAAGAUGUGUUUGUUAAUGUGAAAUCUGGAUGGAGUAAUAGUAGUGUUGACUAAUCUAAUGUCUUGUAGAUGUAUGCAUAAAUAAUGGACAAUAAUUAUGAAAUUAAGUUAGAAAAUAAUGUUUAGUAGAUAGACACUAAUAGCAUGUAUUAAGUGUAUAAAUAGGUUUAUUGGAUGACAAUAUGAAUUUGAUACUUUCUAUGUGAAGGUAAUAUAUAUAUAUAUAUUGAAAGGUAACAGGACAUAACAAGGACCAGGAGCAUGGAUAAAGUGAUUCAUAUGUCAAAGGUGUUUAGCAUUUUGAGAUUAUAGGAUUAUACUAGCCCUUUUGCUCUUUUGUUGUAUAACUGCUGCUCAAGUCAGGUCACUGGCCAAACUUUUUGUGUUAGAAAUAAAAUUCUAUUGGAUAUGUUAGAUGUGACAUGUAGUGUAAUGUAGUUUGGACAUUUUUUUUACCUUUUUAUCCAGAUUGUAUAGAUUUAUAUAUGCUUUUGGCAAUAGGUUUUAUGGUCUAUUUUUAGAAGUUAUAUAGCAGUUUUCCUGUUUGACAAGUAAAGGGAAAUAAGGUAUCUAUUUAUAAAAAGAGAUUUUCCGUUAA
Molecule: long non-coding RNA, 1107 nt
Organism: Salvia splendens (bonfire salvia)
Lineage: Eukaryota; Viridiplantae; Streptophyta; Magnoliopsida; Lamiales; Lamiaceae
Exons: 2
Source: RefSeq, a predicted model, not a curated record